GGAAUUUUGGACAAUGGGGGCAACCCUGAUCCAGCCAUGCCGCGUGCGGGAAGAAGGCCUUCGGGUUGUAAACCGCUUUUGUUCGGGAAGAAAUCGUCCUCGCUAAUACCGGGGGCGGAUGACGGUACCGGAAGAAUAAGCACCGGCUAACUACGUGCCAGCAGCCGCGGUAAUACGUAGGGUGCAAGCGUUAAUCGGAAUUACUGGGCGUAAAGCGUGCGCAGGCGGUUUCGCAAGUCAGAUGUGAAAGCCCCGGGCUUAACCUGGGAACUGCAUUUGAAACUACGAGGCUAGAGUGUGUCAGAGGGGGGUAGAAUUCCACGUGUAGCAGUGAAAUGCGUAGAGAUGUGGAGGAAUACCGAUGGCGAAGGCAGCCCCCUGGGAUAACACUGACGCUCAUGCACGAAAGCGUGGGGAGCAAACAGGAUUAGAUACCCUGGUAGUCCACGCCCUAAACGAUGUCAACUAGUUGUCGGGGAAGCAAUUCCUUGGUAACGCAGCUAACGCGUGAAGUUGACCGCCUGGGGAGUACGGUCGCAAGAUUAAAACUCAAAGGAAUUGACGG
This 565-nucleotide ribosomal RNA is filed under the name uncultured bacterium. Its description in RNAcentral is "bacterial SSU rRNA". It matches the Rfam family "Bacterial small subunit ribosomal RNA", at positions 358 to 916 of the family's 1533-position model. The record is from RNAcentral.